Molecule: long non-coding RNA, 2068 nt
Organism: Cyanistes caeruleus (blue tit)
Lineage: Eukaryota; Metazoa; Chordata; Aves; Passeriformes; Paridae
Source: Ensembl
CUCAGCAUCACCCCUCGCCAGGCGGGGGAAGCCCCCAGCCCACCCUGCCCCCUUCCCUUUACCUGCUGCCGCUGGGAAAUCCGCCGGCUCCCCGAGCCCCGGGAAGGGCGAGGCCGGCCCCGGCGGCAGGGCUGUGCCAGGGCCNGCGGGGCGGGCGCUGGGCCGGGCGGCUCCGCCCCGGGCAGCGCGGGAGGAGCGCUCGGACCGGAGCAGCAGCAGCAGCAGCAGCAGCAGGAGGAGGAGGAGAAAAGGGAGCUGCAGCCAGCCGUGGGCAGCUCUGCUCUUUGGGGUGUCCCCCGGCUGCCAGCGAACCCCACAAGGGUUCGGGUUUGGGGCCCAAGGGAAAGGUCGGGGCAGCCCUGGGGAGGGGAGUGCUUGGCACCGUGCCAGGGGGGUUUGGGAAUGCUGAGCCCAUAAAGGGCAGCGAGCAGCCGGGAAUCACACAAUGGGUUGGGGGAGGUAAAGGACCCUAAGGAUCAUGGCAUUCCAAGCUCCCUUUCCGCUGUCCCAGGUUGUUGCAAGCCCCGUGCAGCCUGGCGCUGCACACUUCCAGGGACGGGGCAGGCACAGCUUGGGGUAGGAGGGAUGUUGUGUGUUCCCACCGAGGCGGAUAAAAAGUGUCAGGUGGGGGUUUGGGCUUUACAGCCUCCUGAUUUCUUCCCCAGAUUUUGCAACUCACCCUUCAUUGUUUCUACCCCCGUUAUCGCCUGCACCCGCUCCCACGUUAGGUCCUGAACUCCCAGGCGUGCAGGUGGAGCUGAUCUCCACACCGAGGCCAACCGGGGUCCCUGAGUUACAGCAUUUCGGGGGAAGGAUGAGUGUUCUGUUGGAUCUACACCAUGCUCAGGACUUGUUUCCCUCACGCUGCAGCAGCACAGGUUAUUUGGGACGAGAAGGAUGCCCAGUUGUGCCCAGCACUGUGGCCAAAACUCAGCUGUGUCCUGGCUGUGAAUCCUUUGCCCUUCUUGAUGCAAGGAUCCUGCCAGGAUGCAGGGCUGGGGAAGGAUUUGUUCUCCAGCCACCCCAAGCAGCUGUGAGGACCACAAAGAUGAGCAGAAGGACCAUCUUUGUCCCCUGAAAGCAGCACUUUGGCUGCUAAGGGCCGUGCAGUGUCAAAGAAAAGUCACUGAAGGAAAUUUACCAUGAAUUUCCAUGCAGCCUCCAGGAAAACGGAUGCAAUUUUGGACAGAGAAGGUUGGUUUCAGAUUUAUAAGCUCCUUGUCCCGUGCUGAGAGCCUUGAAUGCUCAAAGCUACUUUAAAUAUCUCCCUUUGGCAUGGCAGGGAUUUCUGCUGUGCUCAUUCCUCACAUUUCCAGCCAGCUUCAUUUCCAAAGGAUGCAGCUCUAAAGCCCUCCUGAAAACCCUCUGGACCCUGGGGAUACUCCCUGUGUGUGAUUCCCUUUUUAAGCUGCUCCUUUAGGACCUGGCUCGGCUCUAAACCAGGGCUGAGUUUUGGGAUUUCACACCACGUCCUGGAAGUGUUUUGUUACGUGCUUAUGGAAGGGAAAAUGCCUCCAGAAGGGACAUUUUUGUUUCCUGGCAGGGAAAUACGAGGGCAUCAAGGCAAAGUCUCAGAGCAGUCAGUGCUCUGGUGUUUGGUUGGGAUGGAUGGGGAGGGAGGUGAUGCAGCUUCCUACAAGAGUGGGGAUCAGGAGGAAUGGGCUGAUUAAUCCUGAAACUCAGCACCAGCCUCCUCCAAGAAAAAGUGCUGUUCCAUCCCCUGUGGAGGCAGAAAAAAGCCCUUUUUCCUCCUCCCAGGCUCACUCCUCCUCCCAGGCUCACGGUGGGGAAGUCUUUACUGGAGAAACACUUUCCUGAGCAGUCCUGAUGACCCAGACACGGCCUUGGACACUUCCAAGGAUCCAGGGGCAGCCACAGCUGCUCUGGGCACCCUGUGCCAGGGCCUGCCCACCCUCACAGGGAACAAUUCCUCCCUGAUAUCCCAUCCAUCCCUGUCCUCUGGCAGUGGGAAGCCAUUCCCUGUGUCCUGUCCCUCCACCCCACAUCCCUCUCCAGCUCUCCUGGAGCCACUUUAGGCACUGGAAGGGCUCUGAGGUCUCCCUGGAGC